This is a long non-coding RNA of Cygnus atratus (black swan), 358 nucleotides long. RefSeq lists it as uncharacterized. NCBI's taxonomy places the organism in Eukaryota, Metazoa, Chordata, Aves, Anseriformes, Anatidae. The record is from RefSeq and is a predicted model, not a curated record. The transcript is spliced from 5 exons.
CUGUAAGACAACCAAAUUUAUGGCCUGAUCUGGUGAUCUUCAAACAACAAAAGCUAUGUGAUGAAGUACCAAGGAUCAAGGAGGCAAUUGCAAAUGGCACAGAAGCCUAAACUAUGCUGGAAGGACUGAAAGCAAUAAAUUAUUCCUCCAAGCUCUACUCUGAAACAAGGGAGUCCAAAUUCGUAAAAAAUGCCAGUGCCAGAGCUUUUGUUUUCACUUGUCUCAGUCUACUGUGAAACCAUGUGGACAUACGGUGCAUCUAUGUUGCCCAGAAAUGUAAGGGUGGGUUCUGAAAGCCAAUGUGUCAUCCUGAAUGAAAAAAGAAGACAGGAUAUUUAGAUAGGUUUCGGUGCAAGAG